GUGCUCACUUCAGCAGCACAGUACUAAACUUGGAAGAUUAGUAUGGCCCCUGCGAAAGGAUGACACACAAAUUCGUGAAGCAUUUCAUAUUUAA
Myotis lucifugus (little brown bat) is the source of this 94-nucleotide small nuclear RNA. The record is from Ensembl. NCBI's taxonomy places the organism in Eukaryota, Metazoa, Chordata, Mammalia, Chiroptera, Vespertilionidae.